Molecule: long non-coding RNA, 669 nt
Filed under: Rattus norvegicus (Norway rat)
Lineage: Eukaryota; Metazoa; Chordata; Mammalia; Rodentia; Muridae
Description: long non-coding RNA NONRATT010722
Source: RNAcentral
AUGUCAGGCCAUUACCUGUGCAUGUUGAGUAUUUGCUUACUGAACUCAAGCACAUCAGCUUGGGCUGGUUGAAGAAUUUUUACUGAUUUCCAAUAGGACUCAAGUCAAGAAGUAUUUUUUGAAGCUGGUGUUCCUUACCUAGUGAGCUGUUCUCACAUGUUCAUUGAACUAAUCUGUCUGUCUGCAAAGUGAGUGUCCUACUGGUAAAUAGGUUUUACCUUUUGAGCCAUUUUAAAGAAAAACACAUUGAACAUAGCAGUUUUUGUGAAACAAGAGAAUGCAAGGGGCAGUGUGGGAGGUGACAGGCUGAUCAGGGGUCGCUGGCCUUCCCACUAAUGCAGGUAUGGGGGUCAGCAUUUAGAACAGGUGCAGCCUCAGUUGCCGUCCCUGAUCUGUUUGGAAGUCUCAGUGUGAACACAGAAAGGAUUCAUGAGGGGAAAUGGCUGUGUUCCUAAUAGUAAAGUGGUGUCAUUUUAGUGCUGUAAGUAUCUGGAAUAAAUACUGUUGUGUUAGUUAGGCAGAUGACAGCCCAGUAUAAUGCUUUUUUAAUAAUGUGACUUAAGUGAAACAAAUGAGUGUUUUACCAGAUUUUAAAGUUCUUACGUCAGUGAGUGAGUAAGUGUGCAUGCAAAGAAUUCUUUUCUUCUGGGGAAAAAAAAACAAAAACAA